Molecule: long non-coding RNA, 1837 nt
Filed under: Nicotiana benthamiana
Lineage: Eukaryota; Viridiplantae; Streptophyta; Magnoliopsida; Solanales; Solanaceae
Description: long non-coding RNA (NBEN_LNC026660)
Source: RNAcentral
CCAUAUGUGGUUCCUAUAAUCGAGCUGAUUGUUACAAUUGGAACGUCAAUUAUAAAGAAAUAACAAGUAAAUAGUGAAUCCAAUAUAAACCAAAUUGCUAACGUAAUCAUUCGCGGCAUUAUUUCUUCCUAGAUCGUUUUUGCUAUGUUAAAUAACAAUCUUAAUUCCAAAAAUUACUAUUAUGUAUUUUUUCAAAAAUCAUGUACUUGAAUUACAGCUUGUUGUAAUACCCAAUGCCGCAACAAGUUAUUCUUUUGCAUAACUUAUUGUUCAACUAUAACCAGUAGGACUUAAAUGUAUUGUCAUAGAAAAAUGUUAAUAGGUUAACAACACUUGAUCAAAAUCCUCUUGUGAAGUUUGACUAAUGAAAAAGUAUGGAGCUAAGAAAAAGAUUUAGUUGCUUCUCAGAAUCAACAGACAUACAAGUUAUACAAAUAUUUUUUUUACGUAGCGUGUCAUUAGCAGCCUAUUUCUCAUUAUAACUUUUAACUGAAAGUAACAGAUACCCAAAAGGAAUAGCAUUUCAGAACCCAAAAUAUAAAUUUAAUAAAAAAAUUCUUGAAGACAACUUAAAAAAGAAAAGAGAGAACAAGGCAUAAAAGUAUUAUAUUUUUAAUAUCUUAUGUGAACAUUGGUUAUGUCGCCGGUAAGCUAAAUUAUAGUUGAAAUAUGAUAUGCACAUCCCGCAAGUUCAAAUAGGCGGACAUUGUACCACUGAAUCCACAGUUUUUAUUUGGUAAGAAUGAAAACCGUGAGUUGUGAAUUAAAAAAAAUACUUAUAUUGAAAUGUGAAGUUCCUAAUUCAAAACAAUCAUGAUAAUAAGGUAACUGAUCCAUAGAAACAUAUUCGUGCUAUUCAUAUGGCAGCCACUGAAGCAAGUAAAUGGCAUUAAGAAAAACAACCUCCACAUCUUCUCAAUUUUAUUUUUCUAGUGAACCAUAAAAUGAUUCAAAAACUAACCACCAAUUAUCACAUUUAUGAUCCUAAAAUUCCUUACACUGCACUGACUACACAUUGACAACCCAUUAUGCACAUUACGAAACUCCUAAAAGUAUUUUAAUAGUCAAAAUAAUAAAAUAAAGGAAUCAAAAGUACAAAAUCUGCCAUUUCUAAUCAUGGAAUCAACUUUGAACCUCAUUCUAGAGGAGAUUGGAAGAAGAAUCAAAAGAGAAACAAUAAAAAUACAAAAAUAAGUGAGCGCAAGAAGAGGACUAUAAGAGCAUUGAGGAGGAGUCAAUGUGGAACGUAGUCUGGCAAUGCAAAUCAAAAUCUAAAAGGGGGUUAUACAUCAAAAUUUUAAAUUAACAAUUAGUAAAUUUCACCUGUUUUAAACUUUAAAAAAUUACAACAUUUCAAGGGGGUUACCUCAAAAUUAGUAGAGAAUCGACCUUCGACGGAUUAAUUAUGAUAUAUUAAAAAGGAAAAAAUAACAUAUAAACCCUUCAAAGAGAACAAUUGAAAGGAUAUACCUUAAUAUUCCUGUUCAACAGUUCGAAAGGUCCGAGAAUACUCUAUCCCAGUAGACGAUUGCUGCUCCAAGAGUUCAUUCAACAAAAAGCAACAUACAAGUUUAUCCCAAAUUGUGAAUCACAAAAUUGUGUUCAAAGUCUGAUUAGAGAUAAGACAAAGCAAAAUUCGUAAAAGAAGAUAUGAAGGGUAUGAAAAAGAUUGUGAGAGAGAUCUGCUACUAAUGGUAUACAAUUGCAGCUAGAACUCAUUAGCAAAUGGUAGACGAUUAACAAAGUAACAGUGAAAGAAAAUUCUAGAAAGAAGAGUGCGAGGAAGGACACGUAUGCUAGUAGAGUAAUAAAAAUUCAAUUUCAGAUCAGCUAUAGA